Molecule: ribosomal RNA, 513 nt
Filed under: Ostoma sp. MJM-2013
Lineage: Eukaryota; Metazoa; Arthropoda; Insecta; Coleoptera; Peltidae
Description: partial 16S ribosomal RNA
Rfam family: Archaeal large subunit ribosomal RNA
Source: RNAcentral
GGCCUUUUGAAAAUAAUUUAAGGUCUAAUCUGCCCACUGAGAAGUUAAAUGGCCGCGGUAUUUUGACCGUGCAAAGGUAGCAUAAUAAUUAGUUUUUUAAUUGAAAGCUGGUAUGAAUGAUUGAAUGAGAAAAUAGCUGUCUCAAAUUUAUUUAUUUAGAAUUUUAUUUUUAAGUUAAAAAGCUUAAAUUUAUUUAAAAGACGAGAAGACCCUAUAGAGUUUGAUAAAUAGAUAAGUAUAAGAUUUUUAGGAUUUUAAAUUUUUAUUAUUAUUAUAUUUAUUUUGUUGGGGUGACAAAAAAACUAAAUUAACUUUUUUUUAUUUAAACCAUAAAUAAAUGAAUUUUUGAUCCAUUUUUAAUGAUUAUAAGAUAAAAUUACCUUAGGGAUAACAGCGUAAUUUUUUUUUAGAGUUCUAAUCGAAAAAAAAGAUUGCGACCUCGAUGUUGGAUUAAAGUUAAGUUUUGGUGUAGAAGCUAAAAUUUUAGGUCUGUUCGACCUUUAAAACUUUACA